This 1401-nucleotide ribosomal RNA is filed under the name uncultured bacterium. RNAcentral's name for it is "bacterial SSU rRNA". It matches the Rfam family "Bacterial small subunit ribosomal RNA". The record is from RNAcentral.
GCUGGCGGCAGGCCUAACACAUGCAAGUCGAACGGUAACAGGAAACAGCUUGCUGUUUCGCUGACGAGUGGCGGACGGGUGAGUAAUGUCUGGGAAACUGCCUGAUGGAGGGGGAUAACUACUGGAAACGGUAGCUAAUACCGCAUAACGUCGCAAGACCAAAGAGGGAGACCCUCGGGCCUCUUGCCAUCGGAUGUGCCCAGAUGGGAUUAGCUUGUUGGUGGGGUAACGGCUCACCAAGGCGACGAUCCCUAGCUGGUCUGAGAGGAUGACCAGCCACACUGGAACUGAGACACGGUCCAGACUCCUACGGGAGGCAGCAGUGGGGAAUAUUGCACAAUGGGCGCAAGCCUGAUGCAGCCAUGCCGCGUGUAUGAAGAAGGCCUUCGGGUUGUAAAGUACUUUCAGCGGGGAGGAAGGGAGUAAAGUUAAUACCUUUGCUCAUUGACGUUACCCGCAGAAGAAGCACCGGCUAACUCCGUGCCAGCAGCCGCGGUAAUACGGAGGGUGCAAGCGUUAAUCGGAAUUACUGGGCGUAAAGCGCACGCAGGCGGUUUGUUAAGUCAGAUGUGAAAUCCCCGGGCUCAACCUGGGAACUGCAUCUGAUACUGGCAAGCUUGAGUCUCGUAGAGGGGGGUAGAAUUCCAGGUGUAGCGGUGAAAUGCGUAGAGAUCUGGAGGAAUACCGGUGGCGAAGGCGGCCCCCUGGACGAAGACUGACGCUCAGGUGCGAAAGCGUGGGGAGCAAACAGGAUUAGAUACCCUGGUAGUCCACGCCGUAAACGAUGUCGACUUGGAGGUUGUGCCCUUGAGGCGUGGCUUCCGGAGCUAACGCGUUAAGUCGACCGCCUGGGGAGUACGGCCGCAAGGUUAAAACUCAAAUGAAUUGACGGGGGCCCGCACAAGCGGUGGAGCAUGUGGUUUAAUUCGAUGCAACGCGAAGAACCUUACCUGGUCUUGACAUCCACGGAAGUUUUCAGAGAUGAGAAUGUGCCUUCGGGAACCGUGAGACAGGUGCUGCAUGGCUGUCGUCAGCUCGUGUUGUGAAAUGUUGGGUUAAGUCCCGCAACGAGCGCAACCCUUAUCCUUUGUUGCCAGCGGUCCGGCCGGGAACUCAAAGGAGACUGCCAGUGAUAAACUGGAGGAAGGUGGGGAUGACGUCAAGUCAUCAUGGCCCUUACGACCAGGGCUACACACGUGCUACAAUGGCGCAUACAAAGAGAAGCGACCUCGCGAGAGCAAGCGGACCUCAUAAAGUGCGUCGUAGUCCGGAUUGGAGUCUGCAACUCGACUCCAUGAAGUCGGAAUCGCUAGUAAUCGUGGAUCAGAAUGCCACGGUGAAUACGUUCCCGGGCCUUGUACACACCGCCCGUCACACCAUGGGAGUGGGUUGCAAAAGAAG